Molecule: ribosomal RNA, 1003 nt
Filed under: Simplicillium yunnanense
Lineage: Eukaryota; Fungi; Ascomycota; Sordariomycetes; Hypocreales; Cordycipitaceae
Description: SSU rRNA
Rfam family: Eukaryotic small subunit ribosomal RNA
Source: RNAcentral
GCAUGUCUAAGUAUAAGCAAUUAUACAGCGAAACUGCGAAUGGCUCAUUAUAUAAGUUAUCGUUUAUUUGAUAGUACCUUACUACUUGGAUAACCGUGGUAAUUCUAGAGCUAAUACAUGCUAAAAAUCCCGACUUCGGAAGGGAUGUAUUUAUUAGAUUAAAAACCAAUGCCCUCUGGGCUCUCUGGUGAUUCAUGAUAACUUUUCGAAUCGCAUGGCCUUGCGCCGGCGAUGGCUCAUUCAAAUUUCUUCCCUAUCAACUUUCGAUGUUUGGGUAUUGGCCAAACAUGGUCGCAACGGGUAACGGAGGGUUAGGGCUCGACCCCGGAGAAGGAGCCUGAGAAACGGCUACUACAUCCAAGGAAGGCAGCAGGCGCGCAAAUUACCCAAUCCCGACACGGGGAGGUAGUGACAAUAAAUACUGAUACAGGGCUCUUUUGGGUCUUGUAAUUGGAAUGAGUACAAUUUAAAUCCCUUAACGAGGAACAAUUGGAGGGCAAGUCUGGUGCCAGCAGCCGCGGUAAUUCCAGCUCCAAUAGCGUAUAUUAAAGUUGUUGUGGUUAAAAAGCUCGUAGUUGAACCUUGGGCCUGGCUGGCCGGUCCGCCUCACCGCGUGUACUGGUCCGGCCGGGCCUUUCCCUCUGUGGAACCUCAUGCCCUUCACUGGGCGUGACGGGGAAACAGGACUUUUACUGUGAAAAAAUUAGAGUGCUCCAGGCAGGCCUAUGCUCGAAUACAUUAGCAUGGAAUAAUGAAAUAGGACGUGCGGUUCUAUUUUGUUGGUUUCUAGGACCGCCGUAAUGAUUAAUAGGGACAGUCGGGGGCAUCAGUAUUCAAUUGUCAGAGGUGAAAUUCUUGGAUUUAUUGAAGACUAACUACUGCGAAAGCAUUUGCCAAGGAUGUUUUCAUUAAUCAGGAACGAAAGUUAGGGGAUCGAAGACGAUCAGAUACCGUCGUAGUCUUAACCAUAAACUAUGCCGACUAGGGAUCGGACGAUGUAAAU